UGCAGUGAACAUUGUGGGCAAUGUUUUGUCAAUAUCAUUUCAAAUAGCAAGGAGGCGUGCCAUGCUCUGGAGGUCCUGCUGACUGAGGAACACCGCGAGCUGCAGGUGGAGAGGGCUUACUGGGAGUGACUGCGUGAGGCCACCCAACCCAGGGAGCAGGAGGUUCCUUCUAAGCCACGGAAGGGGAAGAGUACCACACUGGGCAGUACCUCACUGUGCAGGACCCCACCUAGUGGUUUCCCAGGGAAUUACGGCUCAUUCUGCAGCUGGGGUUUCCCCUAAUGUCACAGGGCAGCAAGGGAAUCCCCCAGUACACCAGACAACUAAUACUGCGUCCGUGACCCCACAGCCCAUCACUUGACUCCUAUUUUUUAGCUGUCACAAAUACUGUGCCACAGAUAAUGUUUCCAAAUACAUCUACACAUAUUCCAUAGUCACUUAUUAGUGCAGUCACACUGAACCUGGAGUCUGUCCCAGGAAGCAAAGGGUGAGAGGCAGGGGACACCUUGGAUGGGAUGCCGGUCCAUGACAUGGCAUUCACUCAUAUUACAGGUAAUCAGGAGACAUCAACAACCCUCAGAUCUGAGCCUCUCUGUCUACAGUGGUGAUGUCCCAAUUAUGUCUGGGCUCCAGGAGUGCCUGGCGUAUGCAUCAAUAACUGAUUCAGGAAGAGUGGAGCAUCCUCUCAUGCUGACUAAGCCACGGCUCAUGAUGCUGGUGAUGGACGGCGGUGUUGACCGGUGCUCCAGCAAGACUAACGGACAGCAUCCUCGCUUUCCUGUUUCCAAUAGCAACUGACAGAGCACUGGGGAAGGGAGCGGCCAACACCCAGUGUGGAUGUGGGUAAGCAAGGCUAUGUGCAGGUAGGCAGGCCUAUGUUGGGUUAGCAGGCCUAUGUGCGGGUUAGCAGGCCUAUGUGCGGGUUAGCAGGCCUAUGUUGGGUAAGUAGGCCUAUGUUGGGUAAGUAGGCCUAUGUGCGGGUAGGCAGGCCUAUGUGCGGGUAGGCAGGCCUAUGUGCGGGUUAGCAGGACUAUGUGCGGGUGAGCUUGUUGCAUGGAGUGAUGGUUCUUAAUUCGUAUGAAAGGUCAUUGUAAACCUGAUAUGUACAUUUUCUUAUUUUCUGCUCAUUUCAGACUAGGGAAGCUAAAAUUUUCACAUACAUGUCUGUCAGUGAUGAUUUAAUGCUUUAAUUCUGUGAUGCGCUCAUAUAAGCCAAUGUUAUUAAACAGUAUUGCUCAUUUGAAAUGAGUUUACUAUCUGUGUAAGGUGAGCACAAGGUUUGCCAGUCACGUUUUUCAUUACGUUUCAAAAAUAAUUCUGUGUUUUUCUCAUAUUCACCUUUCUGGUUCGGUUAUUGCUCGGCUGCUCAGCCGCCAGCAUGGCUGCACUCGAUAAUCAUUUUGUCAUGAUGUCAUUAAGUCUCCAGUCACCUGCUUCCCAGGCGAGGUCAGAGUGUCCAUGGGUGUGGGCAUAUUAGCACGACCUCAUGCCUAACCCCCUUCCCCGAAGCUUACUGUCUUCUGAAACUCAUUACCCAAUUAUUAACAUGGCCGAUCAUCUGCUUCCAGUUCGGUCCAGCAUGAUUUUUGCAUUUACAUUUACGCUGCUAAGCCAACAUUGUGACUGAGGCACAUCCAUGUCCUUUCACACAUUCAAAUUCUCCGUGAGCAGGAUUUAACUGUGAGCCCUACAUACAGCCUCUCUGUAGCACCUCCUGACACCUGAGGGUUAGGCUUGGAUCCAGCCUGAGAUUUGUCUGCCAAGGACGGCCUACCUCCCCAUCUGUAACGGCCUAUCAGCGUGAUCAGUGUAUAUAAAGGCAGAGCGGAUAGCCCAUGGCAGAGACAGUGAAGCCCAUGGCAGAGACAGUGAAGCCCAUGGCAGAGACAGUGAAGCCCAUGGCAGAGACAGUGAAGCCCAUGGCAGAGACAGUGAAGCCCAUGGCAGAGACAGUGAAGCCCAUGGCAGAGACAGUGAAGGCCCUAUGCUCAGACCGGAGAGGAGGAGAUUCAUUUAAGGAAAGUACUUCCUUAGCUGCUGCAGGAGUAUUAAAUCCUGAAAUUAACUGAACUGAACUAUUUAUCAGCCAACCUACAGGGCAUCUCGCUGUUACGGAAACCGCCGAACAAGAUGGCGUCGCGUCGGCCUGGACGUGUCACUGCGGAUUUAGACGGCUAAAUGAGAAUAAGUGCUGCAGUGUUUCACCUUGGAGCCGCACGAUCAGGAGCCGCUCGGCGCUGAGAGGCCGAGAUUCGGGGCUGAGAUUAAUGACACGGCACAUGCCACCCAGGGCCAGAAAGUCUAACAGGGACCUGCUGUUGAGUGCGUUACAGGAAUGCUUAUAAAGUACAGCCUUUGUACCAGACUGUUGCGUUUGCAUGGCUUGGGUACCAUGUCUGAGCUGUAGGCACCGAAGGCCAGAAAUUCUCAGACUUCACAGAGGCAACACCUUCAUUUCGUUCCUGCCAAGACCCUGAGUGUUUCCCCUCUGCGAUCUGCAGCUCCGAGUUGCUCCGUUACUCGAGUGACCCACACAAAGCCCUGCUUUGAUGCUUCAUCCAGCCAUUUUAGCAUAAACAGCCAAAGUUCAGCCGCCUCCCCAAGCUGGUCCCAUCCAUGCUUUCCUUCCUUCACAGUGAAGUGUGGAAAAUGGCGGCUGUCGUUGCGGUUAGGCCCUGAGCCCAAGCGUUCCUGCCCACAUUCCCAGGAGUCUUGCGCUUUCUCCCUAUAUUCCCAAUUCCUAUUGUUUGUUUUUGCAGGAUGUCGCAGCUUUGUGGUACACCAGAGAGAACUUCCACACAUGGCGGGGCUGACAAAAUGAAUGGGGGGGGCAGGCCUCUCUGGUGCCCCCCAUGGAGCUGAUGUUGUGUUACACUGAGAUAAAAAACGCCCUUGAAAGUGAGCUACUGAUAUAGGGAUCAGCACACAUUAGGACAUGAGUGCCUUCCUGUCUGGCUGAUAUCGACGCCCCCUGGCUUACAGCAGGGAUACUGCAAGGGUUUAGCAGGGGUAAUGCUGCACUGGGUGCUCAAGCACGGGGGGGGGGGUCCCGGUGGAGGAGAGACUGACCCCCCUCUGUGACGCCACCGCACAUCUGGAGCCAAUAACCGUGGAGGAAAGUGCCCC
This is a long non-coding RNA of Brienomyrus brachyistius, 3126 nucleotides long. RefSeq lists it as uncharacterized. Lineage: Eukaryota; Metazoa; Chordata; Actinopteri; Osteoglossiformes; Mormyridae. The record is from RefSeq and is a predicted model, not a curated record. The transcript has 7 exons.